AAGUGGGGGGGCAGGCUAACACAUGCAAGUCGAGCGGCAGCACAAGUAAGUUUACUUAUGAGGUGGCGAGCGGCGGACGGGUGAGUAAUGCCUAGGGAUCUGCCCAGUCGAGGGGGAUAACAGUUGGAAACGACUGCUAAUACCGCAUACGCCCUACGGGGGAAAGGAGGGGACCUUCGGGCCUUCCGCGAUUGGAUGAACCUAGGUGGGAUUAGCUAGUUGGUGAGGUAAUGGCUCACCAAGGCGACGAUCCCUAGCUGUUCUGAGAGGAUGAUCAGCCACACUGGGACUGAGACACGGCCCAGACUCCUACGGGAGGCAGCAGUGGGGAAUAUUGCACAAUGGGGGAAACCCUGAUGCAGCCAUGCCGCGUGUGUGAAGAAGGCCUUCGGGUUGUAAAGCACUUUCAGUAGGGAGGAAAGGGUGAGUCUUAAUACGGCUCAUCUGUGACGUUACCUACAGAAGAAGGACCGGCUAACUCCGUGCCAGCAGCCGCGGUAAUACGGAGGGUGCGAGCGUUAAUCGGAAUUACUGGGCGUAAAGCGUGCGCAGGCGGUUUGUUAAGCGAGAUGUGAAAGCCCUGGGCUCAACCUAGGAAUAGCAUUUCGAACUGGCGAACUAGAGUCUUGUAGAGGGGGGGUAGAAUUCCAGGUGUAGCGGUGAAAUGCGUAGAGAUCUGGAGGAAUACCGGUGGCGAAAGCGGCCCCCUGGACAAAGACUGACGCUCAUGCACGAAAGCGUGGGGAGCAACAGGAUUAGAUACCCUGGUAGUCCACGCCGUAAACGAUGUCUACUCGGAGUUUGUGUCUUGAACACUGGCUCUCAAGCUAACGCAUUAGUAGACCGCCUGGGGGAGUACGGCGCAGAUAAACUCAAUGAAUUGACGGGGGCCGCACAGCCGUUGAGCAUGUGAUUUAUCGAUGCAACGCGAGAUCUAACCUACUCAUGGACUUCACGACGAGACCAGAGAUUGACUGUGCUCGUACUGUCGAACGGCUGCAUGCUGACGUCGCCUCGUUGGCACUGU
This 1027-nucleotide ribosomal RNA is filed under the name bacterium. RNAcentral describes it as "bacterial SSU rRNA". It matches the Rfam family "Bacterial small subunit ribosomal RNA", at positions 31 to 1075 of the family's 1533-position model. The record is from RNAcentral.